UACGUAGGGGGCAAGCGUUGUCCGGAUUUAUUGGGCGUAAAGAGCGUGUAGGCGGCCGUGUAGGUCUGACGUGAAAUCUGGAGGCUCAACCUCCAGCUGUCGUUGGAGACCGCUCGGCUAGAGUCCGGAAGAGGAGAGUGGAAUUCCUGGUGUAGCGGUGAAAUGCGUAGAGAUGCGGAGGAACACCGAUGGCGAAGGCAGCCCCCUGGGCCAAUACUGACGCUCAGGCACGAAAGCGUGGGGAGCAAACAGG
This 253-nucleotide ribosomal RNA is filed under the name uncultured bacterium. RNAcentral describes it as "partial 16S ribosomal RNA". It matches the Rfam family "Bacterial small subunit ribosomal RNA", at positions 524 to 776 of the family's 1533-position model. The record is from RNAcentral.